Molecule: ribosomal RNA, 392 nt
Filed under: uncultured bacterium
Lineage: Bacteria
Description: bacterial SSU rRNA
Rfam family: Bacterial small subunit ribosomal RNA
Source: RNAcentral
AAUCAACGCUGGCGGCGUGCCUAACACAUGCAAGUCGAACGCGAAAGUCCCGCAAGGGAUUAGUAGAGUGGCAAACGGGUGAGUAACACGUGGGUGACCUGCCUUCGAGCGGGGGAUAACGUCCCGAAAGGGACGCUAAUAUCGCAUAACAUCCUGCCUUUUAAGAGGUGGAGAUCAAAGGCCGGGGAUUCGCAAGAACCUGGCACUUGAAGAGGGGCCCGCGCCUGAUUAGCUAGUUGGUGGGGUAAUGGCUCACCAAGGCAACGAUCAGUAUCCGGCCUGAGAGGGCGGACGGACACACUGGGACUGAGACACGGGCCCAGACUCCUACGGGAGGCAGCAGGUGGGGAAUUGUUCGCAAUGGGCGCAAGCCUGACGACGCAACGCCGCGU